GUUCAAGUGGUUCUCCGGUUCUGUAGUCUCAUUGUAUUCUGAAGAUGUUAAAAGAUCAAAUUUUAUGUAGAGCCUGCUUCCAAAGGCUGCAUUGGUCAACAGGAGUUCAGUUUUCGAAGUAAUACUGAGCAGCUACAUGUCUGGACAGCCUCAGUAGGAACUGCAGCAGCUCUUCACUCUGCGCGCCCAAUCCCACGUGUCCGCUUGGGUCCUGCCAAAGGAGAAGGGUGGCAGAGGGAUGACGUGAGCCAAAAGAUGUAUCUGCAGGCGGUGAGGAGCGAUGGGGACAGUGGUGUGACAGACAGAGAAUGGCUUUGUAUCAGCUAUUAACUCCUUCCAGAAGGUCCAUCCUUCAGGUUAUUUUUCUGGAUGGCAAAGUACUGCUGCUACUGCUGCGUAUAGCUACAGCUCUGAAGAUGAGAAAGGUCUCUUCACUUGUGGAGGUUGCUGGUCCCGACCUCACGUUCUGGAGGAUGGAGGCCGGGCGACCGAGUCGGUCCCCGCAGCCAUCCCCACCUUUGCGGACCGUGUCGCUUCUCUGUCACGCCGCCUGCAA
This is a long non-coding RNA of Rhea pennata, 556 nucleotides long. RefSeq lists it as uncharacterized. The transcript is spliced from 3 exons. NCBI's taxonomy places the organism in Eukaryota, Metazoa, Chordata, Aves, Rheiformes, Rheidae. The record is from RefSeq and is a predicted model, not a curated record.